AUGGCGCAAGAUAAUACCAAAUUGUGUGAUUUCUUGAAUAGCAAUAAUAAUGAUUUACUUAGUACUCCAAUUGCUCCUCUUAAUGAUGUUGAGUCUUGUGAAAUCAAUACUGCUUUGCUGAAUCUUGUUAUGAAAGAUCAAUUCGCCGGCCUUCCUAGUGAAGAUGCCGCUACUCAUCUAAACAAUUUUGUUGAUUUGUGUGAUAUGCAAAAGAAGAAAUAUACAGAUAACGAUAUUGUCAAAUUGAAGUUAUUUCCGUUUUCACUUAGAGAUCGUGCUAAAGUUUGGUUUUCUUCUUUGCCUAAAAAUAGUAUUGAUUCUUGGAACAAGUGCAAAGAUGCUUUUAUCUCUAAGUAUUUUCCUCCCGCUAAGAUCAUCACUCUUAGGAACGAUAUUAUGAAUUUUAAACAACUCGAUCAUGAGCAUGUUGCCCAAUCUUGGGAAAGAAUGAAAUUGAUGAUUCAAUAUUGCCCUACUCAUGGUUUGAAUUUAUGGAUGAUCAUACAAAAACUUUAUGCCGGUUUGAACUUUGCUUCUAGAAAUCUUUUAGAUUCGGACGCCGGAGGCACGUUUAUGGAAAUCACUUUAGGAGAUGCUACAAAACUUCUUGAUAAUAUUAUGGCUAAUUAUUCUCAAUGGCACACCGAAAGAUCUUCUAGUAAAAAAGUGCAUGCUAUAGAAGAAAUUAAUGUUUUGAGUGGAAAGAUGGAUAAACUUAUGAAGUUGUUUGCUACUAAAAAUACUCCUCUUGAUCCCAAUGAUAUACCUUUGUCUACUUUGAUUGAGAGUAAUAAUGAAUCUAUGGAUGUGAAUUUUGUUGGUAGGAAUAGUUUUGGAAACAAUGCCUAUAGAGGAAACUUUAAUGGUAGACCGUUCCCUAGUAAUUCCUCUAAUAAUCAUGGAAAUUCCUACAAUAAUUCUUAUGGUAAUUUUAAUAAGAUGCCCUCUGAUUUUGAGAAUAGUGUGAAAGAAUUUAUGAUUUUUCAAAAGAAUUUUAAUGCUUUGCUUGAAGAAAAAUUGCUCCAAGUUGAUGAUUUGGCUAGGAACGUUGAUAGACUUUCGCUUGAUGUUGAUUCUCUUAAAAUUAGAUCUUCUUCUCGUAAGCAUGAUAUCAAUGAGUCUCUCAAAGCAAUGAGAAUUUCCAUUGAUGAGUGUAAGGAAAGAACCGCUAGAUUGCGUGCUAAAAAAGAUAGCUUUAUAAAAGCAUGUUCUUCUAGUUUACAUGAAAAUAAUGAUGAAUAUCUUAAAGUUAUUGAUGCAUCCCCUAUUAGAUCUUUGUUUUGUGAUAUGAAUCUUGAUAAUAAUGGGACUGGAGAUGAGUCAACUUUAUUUAGAAGGCGUCCCAAGAAUUCGGAGUUUUUAGAUCUUAAUGCUAAAUUUGGUAAAAGUAGGAUUGGAGAGGCCAUGACUUUAAAUAGCAUUGAACCCACUAUCUCAUAUUUCAAGGAGCUUGAUUAUGAUAAUUGUUCUUUAGAAGAUUGUAUUUCCUUGUUGCAAUCCGUUGUUAAUUCUCCACAUGCUUAUAGUCAAAAUAAAGCUUUUACCAAACAUAUCGUUGAUGCCUUGAUGCAAUCUUAUGAUGAAAAACUUAAUUUGGAAGUUUCUAUACCUAGAAAGCUUAAUGAUGAGUGGGAACCUACUAUAAAGAUUUAA
This 1653-nucleotide ribosomal RNA is filed under the name Triticum aestivum (bread wheat). RNAcentral's name for it is "partial small subunit ribosomal RNA". Lineage: Eukaryota; Viridiplantae; Streptophyta; Magnoliopsida; Poales; Poaceae. The record is from RNAcentral.